GAGAAAAUGGAGACCAAGACGAUCGUGUACGACUUGGACACAUCAGGGGGGCUGAUGGAGCAAAUCCAAGCUCUUCUGGCUCCCCCCAAGACGGACGAGGCAGAAAAGCGGAGUCGGAAGCCUGAGAAGGAGCCCCGGAGAAGCGGCAGGGCCACCAACCACGACAGCUGCGAUAGCUGCAAGGAAGGUGGAGAUCUCCUGUGCUGCGACCACUGCCCGGCUGCCUUCCACCUCCAGUGCUGUAACCCUCCACUGAGUGAAGAAAUGUUGCCUCCUGGAGAGUGGAUGUGUCACCGGUGCACUGUUCGCCGAAAGGUAAUAAUGCUGCUUUCUGAAGACUGUCCAGAAAGCCUGAUCCAGAGCACUGAUACGCUAGAGCUAAGAUGGCCUAGCCCUGAAGGCAUUCUUGUCCCUUCUUCUUGUCUCUUCCAGCCCUGGAAUCACCCCACUCUUCCCAUGGUGACUGUUUGGAAUCCAGUAGGGCCUAAAAAUCCAAACAUGGGCUGCUGAAAUGGGCAGAAGAGGUGUGUUAACUUACUGAGCCAUGUUUAGUCACUAGUGACAGGAGUAGUCUUACCUUCUUGUUGUCCUCCUAAUAAGUGGCCUUAUCCAUAGCUGGAAAACGAAGGCUGCUUCUCCAGCUUGAUGGAAAAUGGAGUUUUCUCUCACCCCAGGGCAAAUAAGUCACUGGUAUCCAGAGACUUGGCAUACUGAUGGAGAGGAUUUUGAACCCAUUUGUACCCCAAGUUGCCUAAUCUUUCUUUAGCUUCCCUUCCUUCAGCUUUGAUAAUUCAGUACUGGCUUCAAGAACAUGGUUUAUUAUUUUCUACUUUGAGAACUCUUGUGGGUAACAAGAACUAAAUUCUCCCUUAUUAAAAAAGGAAGUAGGUGUGCUUGCACCCAAAUUAUGAUUGACCCAACCCUCAAAUUACAGACUAUGGAUUAGAAUUUGUCUGUGCAUUGUAAUCCACCCUCCUGUGCUCCCCACACUAAUUAUACACCAAGCAACUUUCCUAUGUUGUGACCUCACCUCUAUUUGCCUGGUCCCCGAACAUGAUGUCACAAUGAAUGAUGACUUCCUUGGUUGCAGAAACAGGAUGAGAUGAUUCAGAUUGUGGUUUAUGUGUGUAACAGUUUCAGCCUUUAAGAAAGAAAGUAAACAAGCAGACAUUAUUUUUCAAAUACGUGCAUAAGGAUUCAUAUUUAAAAGCAAGCCAAAGCCAAGUCAACCACCUAACCACAGCUGUAGUUAAAUUUCUCCAUAAACCAGGCUGUCUUCCAGCCUUUCCACCUUCCAAGAUCCUUUCCUGUGCAUCCCUAAUUAGGUUAGAGCAGGGCCUGUUAGAGGCACCUGCCAGCUAGGAGCCCUCUCAAACUUGCCACUCAAAAAAGCUGGACCUGAAAAGAUUUAGGGGAGCUGAAGGAAAAGAGGUAAAGACAGUGGAGAAAAGGAAAUAUUAUGUUAGUGACCAUCGUAUGCCAAGUGUUUUAUUACGUUAUCCCAUUAUCUAUCCAUCCAGCCAUAGAUGGAUACUGAAUGCUGGCAGUAGGUUUCCAUUUUAGAAAGGAAGAAACGGAGGCUCAAAAAUGUAGAUUAACUUUCCCAAGGACUCAAAGGAAUUGACAGAACCAAUAUUUGAACCAAAUUCUGUCAUUCCAAACCUCUGUUACCUCUUCAUCAGUUUUCUAGAAGGAGAGCUACUUGUUGGGGAUUACAGUAUGCCCUUUUCUAACAUGGCACUUCUCCUGAGAUGCCUCUCUUAGCUUUCACGUAGACCUCUUUGCCUACCAGUGCCAAGUCUGCCUUUUCCACUAUCACCAGCACUACUCCCCUUUGGCCUCUUGUAUUUACACUGAAGUGGUUUGAAAUAAUACAUCCUCUGGCCUUCAUCAGCUCCUGACAUUCAGGCCCUAUCAUGAUUUGUAGUGGAAGCACUAGGUCCUACUCCAACUCCAAAUUAUCCCUUUCAUAUAUAUGACCCUUUUUAUCUCCCUCCACCAUAUCCCUGAGAGGAGGAGGGGAAAGAUUUUUCUGUCUCAUUUUACAGAUGAAGAAAUUCCUGCCCACCAGCCUGAGUCACCACAAGGUCAGAGGGGAUCAGAGGCAGAAAUAGGACAAGAUCACAGGUCUCCUACCUGGAGAUCAGUGUUAAACCUUCAUUUGACCACUCUAUUGGGAGUCUUGGAGGAAAAUGUACUAUCAGAUAUCCAGUCCUACUGAGUACACUUAAUCUUUUUCCAUUUCCCCACUUUCUAAGAAGUGUCACUUAUUUUGAGCAAAGUUUUUAAAACCAUUCAGGAGGUCAGGAGGCUCAUAGUGAUCUCAUUAUUGAUUUUUUUUUCGAGAUGGAAUCUUGCUCUGUCGCCCAAGCUGGAGUGCAGUGGCGCAAUGUCAGUUCACUGCAAUCUCUGCCUCCCAGGUUCAAGCGAUUCUCCUGCCUCAGCCUCCUGAGUAGCUGGGAUUGCAGGCGCGUGCCACCACACCCAGCUAAUUUUUGUGUUUUCAGUAGAGAUGGGGUUUCACCAUGUUGGCCAGGCUGGUCUCAAACUCCUGACCUCAGGUGAUCUGCCUGCCUCGGCCUCCCAAAGUGCUGGUAUUACAGGCGUGAGCCACCAUGCCUGCCCCAUUGAUUUUUACUAUUGGUCUCACUAAAUUUAUUCUCACUGUGUUACCUUUUUAGCCCUUUACCCUAUACUUUAUAGAUGUUGUAUGUCAUAUGAUGAGUUAAUGUUAAUGAUGUAUAUUUUGUAUAGUUAUGCCUAACUUACCACGCUUUUUGGUGAUUCUCUGAUGCAACAGUUUUGUCAGCUUUAGUUCAGUUAUAGUUGUGUCAAUUUUAACAGACCAGUGUUCCAAGUGACCAGGUAGAUGAGUCUGUGAUAUGUGAAGGCCUUUUACGAUUUUGGUUAGUGGUCUACCAGGACUUCGUAGCACCCAUCUCUUUGUUUCAUGGUACUUUUCAUGAUGGGCCCACCUGUUCAUUUGCACAGAAACGAGAGCAGAAAAAGGAGCUGGGUCAUGUCAAUGGACUGGUGGACAAAUCUGGCAAACGGACUACAUCCCCCAGCAGUGACACUGACUUGUUGGACAGAUCGGCCAGCAAAACUGAACUAAAGGCCAUUGCCCAUGCCCGGAUCCUGGAAAGGAGAGCCAGCAGGCCUGGCACGCCCACAUCCAGCGCCAGCACAGAGACCCCCACCUCUGAGCAGAAUGAUGUCGACGAAGACAUCAUUGACGUGGAUGAGGAACCAGUAGCAGCGGAGCCAGACUAUGUGCAGCCCCAGCUGAGGCGGCCCUUUGAGCUGCUGAUUGCUGCCGCCAUGGAGCGGAACCCCACCCAAUUUCAGUUGCCCAAUGAACUGACUUGUACCACUGCACUACCAGGUUCUAGCAAGAGGAGAAGAAAGGAGGAAACCACAGGGAAAAAUGUUAAGAAGACACAGCAUGAAUUAGAUCACAAUGGUCUCGUUCCCUUACCCGUCAAAGUCUGCUUCACGUGUAACAGGAGUUGCCGUGUGGCUCCUCUCAUCCAGUGUGACUAUUGCCCUCUCCUGUUUCACAUGGAUUGCCUCGAGCCGCCGCUCACUGCCAUGCCCCUGGGCAGAUGGAUGUGUCCGAAUCACAUCGAACAUGUGGUGCUGAACCAGAAGAAUAUGACACUGAGCAAUCGGUGCCAGGUGUUUGAUCGUUUCCAGGACACCGUUUCGCAGCAUGUUGUCAAAGUGGACUUCCUGAACCGAAUCCACAAGAAGCACCCCCCUAACCGGCGUGUGCUCCAGUCGGUCAAAAGAAGAAGCUUGAAGGUUCCCGAUGCUAUAAAAUCUCAGUACCAAUUUCCACCCCCUCUCAUUGCACCUGCGGCCAUUCGGGACGGGGAGCUUAUCUGCAAUGGGAUCCCUGAGGAAUCACAGAUGCACCUUUUGAACUCUGAGCACUUAGCCACCCAAGCAGAGCAGCAAGAGUGGCUCUGUAGUGUUGUUGCGCUCCAGUGCAGCAUAUUGAAACAUUUAUCUGCUAAGCAGAUGCCUUCGCAUUGGGACUCUGAACAGACAGAGAAGGCUGAUAUUAAGCCUGUUAUUGUGACUGACAGCUCAAUCACCACCUCCCUGCAAACAGCUGACAAGACACCUACACCUUCCCACUACCCCUUGUCCUGCCCCUCAGGGAUUAGCACCCAGAAUUCCCUGAGCUGCUCUCCACCCCACCAGCCCCCAGCCCUAGAGGACAUCGGCUGCAGUUCUUGUGCGGAAAAAUCCAAGAAAACCCCUUGUGGGACUGCCAAUGGGCCAGUGAACACAGAGGUGAAAGCUAAUGGCCCACACCUCUACAGCAGCCCUACUGAUUCCACGGACCCCCGGCGACUUCCAGGCGCUAACACCCCACUACCAGGCCUCUCACAUCGGCAAGGCUGGCCCCGGCCCCUCACGCCACCAGCGGCUGGGGGCCUUCAGAACCACACCGUCGGCAUCAUUGUGAAGACAGAGAAUGCCACUGGCCCCAGCUCUUGCCCCCAGAGGAGUUUGGUUCCUGUCCCAAGCCUGCCCCCUUCCAUUCCCAGCUCUUGUGCCAGCAUCGAGAACACCAGCACUUUGCAAAGAAAGACUGUCCAAUCACAGAUAGGACCUCCGUUGACAGAUUCAAGGCCACUGGGCUCACCCCCAAACGCCACCCGGGUGCUCACUCCCCCGCAAGCAGCAGGAGAUGGUAUCUUGGCCACAGCAGCCAACCAACGAUUCAGCUCACCAGCGCCAUCGUCAGAUGGCAAGGUCAGCCCCGGCACGUUAUCCAUAGGAAGCGCUUUAACCGUACCCUCUUUCCCAGCCAACUCUACUGCCAUGGUGGACCUCACCAACUCACUUCGAGCAUUUAUGGAUGUCAAUGGAGAAAUCGAGAUAAAUAUGCUGGACGAGAAGCUGAUCAAGUUUCUGGCCUUGCAGAGAAUACAUCAGCUUUUCCCCUCCCGGGUCCAACCUUCACCGGGCAGUGUCGGGACACAUCAGCUGGCUUCUGGAGGGCACCACACAGAAGGUGCGCAUGUACACACCUGUCACCACAUCAUCAGAUCUCCCCUCUACGUGUGCGAAUGGUCACCUUGCCUCCAUGGAGAAUCUGAGCUUCCAGUAUCUCAAACCUCCUUGUGUGCUUUUCAUGGGCUUAAUAAAGCACCAUGGUUUUUUUCUGAAGAGAGCAGGAACAAGAUGGCAACCACAGCUUUCUGAUCAGACUUGGGGAAGUCUGCUGUAACUUUCUUUCAUAUAUAAGUCUACUUCGAGACACAGCAAAGCAGCUACCAGUACCUUUGGGUAUAUGUAGUGUACUUUCUGCUUACUUGCUUUCAAAUAUUUGAUAGAAGGGCUUCCUGACUGAGUGCAGUGGCUCACACCUGUAAUCCCAGCACUUUGGGAGGCUGAGGUGGGAGGAUCACUUGAGCCCAGGAGUUGGAGACCAGCCUGGGCAACACAGUGAGACCCUAUCUCUACAAAUAAUUUUAAACUUACCCAGGCAUGGUGGCAUAUACCUGUAGUCCCAGCUGCUUGGAAGGCUAAGGUGGGAGGAUCGCUUGAGCCUGGGAGGUCAAGGCUGCAGUGAGCUAUGAUUGUGCCACUGCACUCCAGCCUGGGUGACAGAGUGAGACCCUGUCUCCAAAUAAAUAAGUAAAUAAAUAAAUAAAUAAAAUUUUUAAAAG
This 5687-nucleotide small RNA is filed under the name Pongo abelii (Sumatran orangutan). RNAcentral's name for it is "retained intron". Lineage: Eukaryota; Metazoa; Chordata; Mammalia; Primates; Hominidae. The record is from RNAcentral.